This 72-nucleotide transfer RNA is filed under the name Phycisphaerales bacterium. Its description in RNAcentral is "tRNA-Ala". It matches the Rfam family "tRNA". Rfam says of the family: Transfer RNA (tRNA) molecules are approximately 80 nucleotides in length. Their secondary structure includes four short double-helical elements and three loops (D, anti-codon, and T loops). The record is from RNAcentral. Lineage: Bacteria; Pseudomonadati; Planctomycetota; Phycisphaerae; Phycisphaerales.
GGGCCGUAGCUCAGUUGGGAGAGCGCCUGCAUGGCAUGCAGGAGGUGGUCGGUUCAAGCCCGAUCGGCUCCA